GUCUACGCUGUCAAAGAUGAAUACUAACAUUAGGAAUUUCUUGGUGUACAGCUAACGCGUUAAGUAUUCCGCCUGGGAAGUACGAUCGCAAGAUUGGAACUCAAAGGAAUUGACGGGGAUUUACACAAGUGGUGGAGUAUGCGGUUUAAUGCGAUAAUACGCGCAAAACCUUACCAGUUCUUGACAUAGAAUUAGACCUAAUAACGAAGGUUAUUUUAAGGAUUAUACGAGUAUUCUCGUAUAUCUAAUUUUACAGGUGUUGCAUGGUUGUCGU
RNAcentral lists this ribosomal RNA (274 nucleotides) under uncultured bacterium. RNAcentral describes it as "partial 16S ribosomal RNA". It matches the Rfam family "Bacterial small subunit ribosomal RNA", at positions 793 to 1055 of the family's 1533-position model. The record is from RNAcentral.